CAAACUUAGCGGCGGACGGGUGAGUAACACGUGGGCAACCUGCCCUUGAGACGGGGAUAACUCCGGGAAACCGGAGCUAAUACCGGAUAACACAUAUCUUCGCAUGAGGAUAUGUUAGAAGGUGGCUUUUAGCUACCACUCAAGGAUGGGCCCGCGGCGCAUUAGCUAGUUGGUGAGGUAACGGCUCACCAAGGCGACGAUGCGUAGCCGACCUGAGAGGGUGAUCGGCCACACUGGGACUGAGACACGGCCCAGACUCCUACGGGAGGCAGCAGUAGGGAAUCUUCCGCAAUGGACGAAAGUCUGACGGAGCAACGCCGCGUGAGUGAUGAAGGUUUUCGGAUCGUAAAGCUCUGUUGUUAGGGAAGAACAAGUAUCUGUUGAAUAAGCAGGUACCUUGACGGUACCUAACCAGAAAGCCACGGCUAACUACGUGCCAGCAGCCGCGGUAAUACGUAGGUGGCAAGCGUUGUCCGGAAUUAUUGGGCGUAAAGCGCGCGCAGGCGGUUCCUUAAGUCUGAUGUGAAAGCCCACGGCUCAACCGUGGAGGGUCAUUGGAAACUGGGGAACUUGAGUGCAGAAGAGGAGAGCGGAAUUCCACGUGUAGCGGUGAAAUGCGUAGAGAUGUGGAGGAACACCAGUGGCGAAGGCGGCUCUCUGGUCUGUAACUGACGCUGAGGCGCGAAAGCGUGGGGAGCGAACAGGAUUAGAUACCCUGGUAGUCCACGCCGUAAACGAUGAGUGCUAAGUGUUAGAGGGUU
This 761-nucleotide ribosomal RNA is filed under the name Priestia sp. RNAcentral's name for it is "bacterial SSU rRNA". It matches the Rfam family "Bacterial small subunit ribosomal RNA", at positions 87 to 832 of the family's 1533-position model. Lineage: Bacteria; Bacillati; Bacillota; Bacilli; Caryophanales; Bacillaceae. The record is from RNAcentral.